CCUACGGGAGGCAGCAGUCGAGAAUCAUUCACAAUGGGGGAAACCCUGAUGGUGCGACGCCGCGUGGGGGAAUGAAGGUCUUCGGAUUGUAAACCCCUGUCAUGUGGGAGCAAAUUAAAAAGAUAGUACCACAAGAGAAAGAGACGGCUAACUCUGUGCCCGCAGCCGCGGUAAUACAGAGGUCUCAAGCGUUGUUCGGAAUCACUGGGCGUAAAGCGUGCGUAGGCUGUUUCGUAAGUCGUGUGUGAAAGGCGCGGGCUCAACCCGCGGACGGCACAAGAGACUGCGAGACUAGAGUAAGGGAGAGGGAACCGGAAGUCUCGGUGUAGCAGUGAAAUGCGUAGAUAUCGGGAGGAACACUCGUGGCGAAGGCGGGUUCCUGGACAUUAACUGACGCUGAGGCACGAAGGCCAGGGGAGCGAAAGGGAUUAGAUACCCUUGUAGUC
Molecule: ribosomal RNA, 446 nt
Filed under: uncultured bacterium
Lineage: Bacteria
Description: partial 16S ribosomal RNA
Rfam family: Bacterial small subunit ribosomal RNA
Source: RNAcentral